GUGGCAGCCGCCGCGGUAAUACAGAGGGUGCAAGCGUUAAUCGGAAUUACUGGGCGUAAAGCGCGCGUAGGUGGUUUGUUAAGUUGGAUGUGAAAUCCCCGGGCUCAACCUGGGAACUGCAUUCAAAACUGACUGACUAGAGUAUGGUAGAGGGUGGUGGAAUUUCCUGUGUAGCGGUGAAAUGCGUAGAUAUGCGGAGGAACACCGAUGGCGAAGGCAAUCCCCUGGGCCUGCACUGACGCUCAUGCACGAAAGCGUGGGGAGCAAACAGGAUUAGAUACCCUGGUAGUCCACGCCCUAA
Molecule: ribosomal RNA, 301 nt
Filed under: uncultured bacterium
Lineage: Bacteria
Description: bacterial SSU rRNA
Rfam family: Bacterial small subunit ribosomal RNA
Source: RNAcentral